Molecule: ribosomal RNA, 442 nt
Filed under: uncultured bacterium
Lineage: Bacteria
Description: partial 16S ribosomal RNA
Rfam family: Bacterial small subunit ribosomal RNA
Source: RNAcentral
CCUACGGGAGGCAGCAGUGGGGACUAUUGGGCAAUGGGCGCAAGCCUGACCCAGCAACGCCGCGUGAAGGAAGAAGGCUUUCGGGUUGUAAACUUCUUUUCUGGGGGACGAACAAAUGACGGUACCCCAGGAAUCAGCCACGGCUAACUACGUGCCAGCAGCCGCGGUAAUACCUAGGUGGCAAGCGUUAUCCGGAUUUAUGGGGUGAAAAGGGCGGGUAGGCGGGAAUGAAAGUCAGAUGUGAAAACUAUGGGCUCAACCCAUAGCCUGCAUUUGAAACUGUAUUUCUUGAGUGCUGGAGAGGCAAUCGGAAUUCCGGGUGUAGCGGUGAAAUGAGUAGAUAUACGGAGGAACACCAGUGGCGAAGGCGGAUUGCUGGACAGUAACUGACGCUGAGGCGCGAAAGCGUGGGGAGCAAACAGGAUUAGAUACCCUUGUAGUC